This 344-nucleotide unclassified non-coding RNA is filed under the name soil metagenome. Its description in RNAcentral is "partial contains 5.8S ribosomal RNA, internal transcribed spacer 2, and large subunit ribosomal RNA". The stretch from base 1 to 119 matches the Rfam family "5.8S ribosomal RNA", at positions 35 to 154 of the family's 154-position model. The record is from RNAcentral.
GAUGAAGAACGUAGCGAAACGCGAAAGGUAAUGCGAAUUGCAGAAUCAGUGAAUCAUCGAGUCUUUGAACGCACAUUGCGCCCCCUGGUAUUCCGGGGGGCAUGCCUGUCCGAGCGUCAUUGCUGCCCUCAAGCACGGCUUGUGUGUUGGGCCUCCGUCCUCCUCCCGGGGGACGGGCCCGAAAGGCAGCGGCGGCACCGCGUCCGGUCCUCGAGCGUAUGGGGCUUCGUCACCCGCUCUUGUAGGCCCGGCCGGCGCUUGCCGACACAUCAAUCUUUUUUCCAGGUUGACCUCGGAUCAGGUAGGGAUACCCGCUGAACUUAAGCAUAUCAAUAAGCGGAGGA